AAGAGCAGCAGUCAGGGUGAUGUACAGUCUACAGGUGAUACAGUCAGGGUGAUGUACAGUCUACAGGUGAUACAGUCAGGAAGAUGUACAGUCUACAGGUGAUACAGUCAGGGUGAUGUACAGUCUACAGGUGAUACAGUCAGGGUGAUGUACAGUCUACAGGUGAUACAGUCAGGGUGAUGUACAGUCUACAGGUGAUACAGUCAGGGUGAUGUACAGUCUACAGGUGAUACAGUCAGGAAGAUGUACAGUCUACAGGUGAUACAGUCAGGGUGAUGUACAGUCAACAGGUGAUACAGUCAGGGUGAUGUACAGUCUACAGGUGAUACAGUCAGGGUGAUGUACAGUCUACAGGUGAUACAGUCAGGGUGAUGUACAGUCUACAGGUGAUACAGUCAGGGUGAUGUACAGUCUACAGGUGAUACAGUCAGGGUGAUGUACAGUCUACAGGUGAUACAGUCAGGGUGAUGUACAGUCUACAGGUGAUACAGUCAGGAAGAUGUACAGUCUACAUGUGAUACAGUCAGGGUGAUGUACAGUCUACAGGUGAUACAGUCAGGGUGAUGUACAGUCUACAGGUGAUACAGUCAGGGUGAUGUACAGUCUACAGGUGAUACAGUCAGGGUGAUGUACAGUCUACAGGUGAUACAGUCAGGGUGAUGUACAGUCUACAGGUGAUACAGUCAGGGUGAUGUACAGUCUACAGGUGAUACAGUCAGGGUGAUGUACAGUCUACAGGUGAUACAGUCAGGGUGAUGUACAGUCUACAGGUGAUACAGUCAGGGUGAUGUACAGUCUACAGGUGAUACAGUCAGGGUGAUGUACAGUCUACAGGUGAUACAGUCAGGGUGAUGUACAGUCUACAGGUGAUACAGUCAGGAAGAUGUACAGUCUACAGGUGAUACAGUCAGGAAGAUGUACAGUCUACAGGUGAUACAGUCAGGAAGAUGUACAGUCUACAGGUGAUACAGUCAGGGUGAUGUACAGUCUACAGGUGAUACAGUCAGCAGUCAGGGUGAUAUACAGUCUACAGGUGAUACAGUCAGGGUGAUGUACAGUCUACAGGUGAUACAGUCAGGGUGAUGUACAGUCUACAGGUGAUACAGUCAGGAAGAUGUACAGUCUACAGGUGAUACAGUCAGGGUGAUGUACAGUCUACAGGUGAUACAGUCAGGGUGAUGUACAGUCUACAGGUGAUACAGUCAGGAAGAUGUACAGUCUGGAAGAUGUACAGUCUACAGGUGAUACAGUCAGGAAGAUGUACAGUCUACAGGUGAUACAGUCAGCAGUCAGGGUGAUGUACAGUCUACAGGUGAUACAGUCAGGGUGAUGUACAGUCUACAGGUGAUACAGUCAGGGUGAUGUACAGUCUACAGGUGAUACAGUCAGGGUGAUGUACAGUCUACAAGUGAUACAGUCAGGGUGAUGUACAGUCUACAGGUGAUACAGUCAGGAAGAUGUACAGUCUACAGGUGAUACAGUCAGCAGCCAGGGUGAUGUACAGUCUACAGGUGAUACAGUCAGGGUGAUGUACAGUCUACAGGUGAUACAGUCAUGGUGAUGUACAGUCUACAGGUGAUACAGUCAGGGUGAUGUACAGUCUACAGGUGAUACAGUCAGGAAGAUGUACAGUCUACAGGUGAUACAGUCAGGAAGAUGUACAGUCUACAGGUGAUACAGUCAGGGUGAUGUACAGUCUACAGGUGAUACAGUCAGGGUGAUGUACAGUCUACAGGUGAUACAGUCAGGGUGAUGUACAGUCUACAGGUGAUACAGUCAGGAAGAUGUACAGUCUACAGGUGAUACAGUCAGGAAGAUGUACAGUCUACAGGUGAUACAGUCAGGGGGAUGUACAGUCUACAGGUGAUACAGUCAGGGGGAUGUACAGUCUACAGGUGAUACAGUCAGGGGGAUGUACAGUCUACAGGUGAUACAGUCAGGUUGAUGUACAGUCUACAGGUGAUACAGUCAGGGUGAUGUACAGUCUACAGGUGAUACAGUCAGGGUGAUGUACAGUCUACAGGUGAUACAGUCAGGGUGAUGUACAGUCUACAGGUGAUCCAGUCAGCAGUCAGGGUGAUGUACAGUCUACAGGUGAUACAGUCAGGGGGAUGUACAGUCUACAGGUGAUACAGUCAGGGUGAUGUACAGUCUACAGGUGAUACAGUCAGGGUGAUGUACAGUCUACAGGUGAUACAGUCAGGGUGAUGUACAGUCUACAGGUGAUCCAGUCAGCAGUCAGGGUGAUGUACAGUCUACAGGUGAUACAGUCAGGGGGAUGUACAGUCUACAGGUGAUACAGUCAGGGGGAUGUACAGUCUACAGGUGAUACAGUCAGGGUGAUGUACAGUCUACAGGUGAUACAGUCGGGGUGAUGUACAGUCUACAGGUGAUACAGUCAGGGUGAUGUACAGUCUACAGGUGAUACAGUCAGGGUGAUGUACAGUCUACAGGUGAUCCAGUCAGCAGUCAGGGUGAUGUACAGUCUACAGGUGAUACAGUCAGGGGGAUGUACAGUCUACAGGUGAUACAGUCAGGGUGAUGUACAGUCUACAGGUGAUACAGUCAGCAGUCAGGUUGAUGUACAGUCUACAGGUGAUACAGUCAGGGUGAUGUACAGUCUACAGGUGAUCCAGUCAGCAGUCAGGGUGAUGUACAGUCUACAGGUCAGGGGGAUGUACAGUCUACAGGUGAUACAGUCAGGGGGAUGUACAGUCUACAGGUGAUACAGUCAGGGUGAUGUACAGUCUACAGGUGAUACAGUCAGGGGGAUGUACAGUCUACAUGUGAUACAGUCAGGGUGAUGUACAGUCUACAGGUGAUACAGUCAGGGUGAUGUACAGUCUACAGGUGAUACAGUCAGGAAGAUGUACAGUCUACAGGUGAUACAGUCAGGAAGAUGUACAGUCUACAGGUGAUACAGUCAGGAAGAUGUACAGUCUACAGGUGAUACAGUCAGGAAGAUGUACAGUCUACAGGUGAUACAGUCAGGAAGAUGUACAGUCUACAGGUGAUACAGUCAGGGUGAUGUACAGUCUACAGGUGAUACAGUCAGGAAGAUGUACAGUCUACAGGUGAUACAGUCAGGGUGAUGUACAGUCUACAGGUGAUACAGUCAGGGUGAUGUACAGUCUACAGGUGAUACAGUCAGGGUGAUGUACAGUCUACAGGUGAUACAGUCAGGAAGAUGUACAGUCUACAGGUGAUACAGUCAGGAAGAUGUACAGUCUACAGGUGAUACAGUCAGGGUGAUGUACAGUCGACAGGUGAUACAGUCAGGGGGAUGUACAGUCUACAGGUGAUACAGUCAGGGUGAUGUACAGUCUACAGGUGAUACAGUCAGGGUGAUGUACAGUCUACAGGUGAUACAGUCAGCAGUCAGGGUGAUGUACAGUCUACAGGUGAUACAGCCAUGGUGAUGUACAGUCUACAGGUGAUACAGUCAGGGUGAUGUACAGUCUACAGGUGAUACAGUCAGGAAGAUGUACAGUCUACAGGUGAUACAGUCAGGAAGAUGUACAGUCUACAGGUCAGGGGGAUGUACAGUCUACAGGUGAUACAGUCAGGGGGAUGUACAGUCUACAGGUGAUACAGUCAGGGGGAUGUACAGUCUACAGGUGAUACAGUCAGGGGGAUGUACAGUCUACAUGUGAUACAGUCAGGGUGAUGUACAGUCUACAGGUGAUACAGUCAGGGUGAUGUACAGUCUACAGGUGAUACAGUCAGGAAGAUGUACAGUCUACAGGUGAUACAGUCAGGAAGAUGUACAGUCUACAGGUGAUACAGUCAGGAAGAUGUACAGUCUACAGGUGAUACAGUCAGGGUGAUGUACAGUCUACAGGUGAUACAGUCAGCAGUCAGGGUGAUGUACAGUCUACAGGUGAUACAGUCAAGGUGAUGUACAGUCUACAGGUGAUACAGUCAGCAGUCAGGGUGAUAUACAGUCUACAGGUGCUACAGUCAGGGUGAUGUACAGUCUACAGGUGAUACAGUCAGGGUGAUGUACAGUCUACAGGUGAUACAGUCAGGGUGAUGUACAGUCUACAGGUGAUACAGUCAGGAAGAUGUACAGUCUACAGGUGAUACAGUCAGCAGUCAGGGUGAUGUACAGUCUACAGGUGAUACAGUCAGGGGGAUGUACAGUCGACAGGUGAUACAGUCAGGGGGAUGUACAGUCUACAGGUGAUACAGUCAGGGUGAUGUACAGUCUACAGGUGAUACAGUCAGCAGUCAGGGUGAUGUACAGUCUACAGGUGAUACAGCCAUGGUGAUGUACAGUCUACAGGUGAUACAGUCAGGGUGAUGUACAGUCUACAGGUGAUACAGUCAGGGGGAUGUACAGUCUACAGGUGAUACAGUCAGGGGGAUGUACAGUCUACAGGUGAUACAGUCAGGGUGAUGUACAGUCUACAGGUGAUACAGUCAGCAGUCAGGGUGAUGUACAGUCUACAGGUGAUACAGUCAAGGUGAUGUACAGUCUACAGGUCAGGGGGAUGUACAGUCUACAGGUGAUACCAUCAGGGUGAUGUACAGUCUACAGGUGAUACAGUCAGGGGGAUGUACAGUCUACAUGUGAUACAGUCAGGGUGAUGUACAGUCUACAGGUGAUACAGUCAGGGUGAUGUACAGUCUACAGGUGAUACAGUCAGGGUGAUGUACAGUCUACAGGUGAUACAGUCAGGGUGAUGUACAGUCUACAGGUGAUACAGUCAGGGGGAUGUACAGUCUACAGGUGAUACAGUCAGGAAGAUGUACAGUCUACAGGUGAUACAGUCAGGAAGAUGUACAGUCUACAGGUGAUACAGUCAGGAAGAUGUACAGUCUACAGGUGAUACAGUCAGGAAGAUGUACAGUCUACAGGUGAUACAGUCAGGAAGAUGUACAGUCUACAGGUGAUACAGUCAGGGUGAUGUACAGUCUACAGGUGAUACAGUCAGGAAGAUGUACAGUUUACAGGUGAUACAGUCAGGAAGAUGUACAGUCUACAGGUGAUACAGUCAGGGUGAUGUACAGUCGACAGGUGAUACAGUCAGGGUGAUGUACAGUCUACAGGUGAUACAGUCAGGGUGAUGUACAGUCUACAGGUGAUACAGUCAGGGUGAUGUACAGUCUACAGGUGAUACAGUCAGGGUGAUGUACAGUCUACAGGUGAUACAGUCAGGGUGAUGUACAGUCUACAGGUGAUACAGUCAGCAGUCAGGGUGAUGUACAGUCUACAGGUGAUACAGCCAUGGUGAUGUACAGUCUACAGGUGAUACAGUCAGGGUGAUGUACAGUCUACAGGUGAUACAGUCAGGGUGAUGUACAGUCUACAGGUGAUACAGUCAAGGUGAUGUACAGUCUACAGGUGAUACAGUCAGCAGUCAGGGUGAUGUACAGUCUACAGGUGAUACAGUCAAGGUGAUGUACAGUCUACAGGUGAUACAGUCAGCAGUCAGGGUGAUAUACAGUCUACAGGUGCUACAGUCAGGGUGAUGUACAGUCUACAGGUGAUACAGUCAGGGUGAUGUACAGUCUACAGGUGAUACAGUCAGGGUGAUGUACAGUCUACAGGUGAUACAGUCAGGGUGAUGUACAGUCUACAGGUGAUACAGUCAGGAAGAUGUACAGUCUACAGGUGAUACAGUCAGCAGUCAGGGUGAUGUACAGUCUACAGGUGAUACAGUCAGGGGGAUGUACAGUCGACAGGUGAUACAGUCAGGGGGAUGUACAGUCUACAGGUGAUACAGUCAGGGUGAUGUACAGUCUACAGGUGAUACAGUCAGCAGUCAGGGUGAUGUACAGUCUACAGGUGAUACAGUCAGGGUGAUGUACAGUCUACAGGUGAUACAGUCAGGAAGAUGUACAGUCUACAGGUGAUACAGUCAGGGUGAUGUACAGUCUACAGGUGAUACAGUCAGGAAGAUGUACAGUCUACAGGUGAUACAGUCAGGGUGAUGUACAGUCUACAGGUGAUACAGUCAGGAAGAUGUACAGUCUACAGGUGAUACAGUCAGGGUGAUGUACAGUCGACAGGUGAUACAGUCAGGGUGAUGUACAGUCUACAGGUGAUACAGUCAGGGUGAUGUACAGUCUACAGGUGAUACAGUCAGCAGUCAGGGUGAUGUACAGUCUACAGGUGAUACAGUCAGGGUGAUGUACAGUCUACAGGUGAUACAGUCAGGAAGAUGUACAGUCUACAGGUGAUACAGUCAGGGUGAUGUACAGUCUACAGGUGAUACAGUCAGGAAGAUGUACAGUCUACAGGUGAUACAGUCAGGGUGAUGUACAGUCUACAGGUGAUACAGUCAGGAAGAUGUACAGUCUACAGGUGAUACAGUCAGGAAGAUGUACAGUCUACAGGUGAUACAGUCAGGGUGAUGUACAGUCUACAGGUGAUACAGUCAGGGUGAUGUACAGUCUACAGGUGAUACAGUCAGGGUGAUGUACAGUCUACAGGUGAUACAGUCAGCAGUCAGGGUGAUGUACAGUCUACAGGUGAUACAGCCAUGGUGAUGUACAGUCUACAGGUGAUACAGUCAGGGUGAUGUACAGUCUACAGGUGAUACAGUCAGGGGGAUGUACAGUCUACAGGUGAUACAGUCAAGGUGAUGUACAGUCUACAGGUGAUACAGUCAGCAGUCAGGGUGAUAUACAGUCUACAGGUGAUACAGUCAGGGUGAUGUACAGUCUACAGGUGAUACAGUCAGGGUGAUGUACAGUCUACAGGUGAUACAGUCAGGAAGAUGUACAGUCUACAGGUGAUACAGUCAGCAGUCAGGGUGAUGUACAGUCUACAGGUGAUACAGUCAGGGGGAUGUACAGUCGACAGGUGAUACAGUCAGGGGGAUGUACAGUCUACAGGUGAUACAGUCAGGGUGAUGUACAGUCUACAGGUGAUACAGUCAGCAGUCAGGGUGAUGUACAGUCUACAGGUGAUACAGCCAUGGUGAUGUACAGUCUACAGGUGAUACAGUCAGGGUGAUGUACAGUCUACAGGUGAUACAGUCAGGGGGAUGUACAGUCUACAGGUGAUACAGUCAGGGGGAUGUACAGUCUACAGGUGAUACAGUCAGGGGGAUGUACAGUCUACAGGUGAUACAGUCAGGGUGAUGUACAGUCUACAGGUGAUACAGUCAGCAGUCAGGGUGAUGUACAGUCUACAGGUGAUACAGUCAAGGUGAUGUACAGUCUACAGGUGAUACAGUCAGCAGUCAGGGUGAUGUACAGUCUACAGGUGAUACAGUCAGGGGGAUGUACAGUCUACAGGUGAUACAGUCAGGGGGAUGUACAGUCUACAGGUGAUACAGUCAGGGGGAUGUACAGUCUACAGGUGAUACAGUCAGGGUGAUGUACAGUCUACAGGUGAUACAGUCAGCAGUCAGGGUGAUGUACAGUCUACAGGUGAUACAGUCAAGGUGAUGUACAGUCUACAGGUGAUACAGUCAGCAGUCAGGGUGAUAUACAGUCUACAGGUGCUACAGUCAGGGUGAUGUACAGUCUACAGGUGAUACAGUCAGGGUGAUGUACAGUCUACAGGUGAUACAGUCAGGGUGAUGUACAGUCUACAGGUGAUACAGUCAGGGUGAUGUACAGUCUACAGGUGAUACAGUCAGGGUGAUGUACAGUCUACAGGUGAUACAGUCAGGGUGAUGUACAGUCUACAGGUGAUACAGUCAGGGUGAUGUACAGUCUACAGGUGAUACAGUCAGGGUGAUGUACAGUCUACAGGUGAUACAGUCAGGGUGAUGUACAGUUGAAGUCGGAAGUUUACAUACACUUAGGUUGGAGUCAUUAAAACUUGUUUUUCAACUACUCCACAAAUUUCUCGCAAACAAACUAUUGUUUUGCCAAGUCGGAUAGAGAUUAACGUACUUUGGUGUGAAAAGUGCAAAUCAAUCCCAGAAAAACCUUGUGAAGAUGCUUGAGGAAACAGGUACAGAAGUAUCUAUAUCCGCAGUAAAACAAGUCCUAUAUUGACAUAACCUGAAAGGCCGCUCAGCAAGGAAGAAGCCACUGCUCCAAAACCGCCAUAAAAAAGCCAGACUACGGUUUGCAACUGCACAUGGGGACAGAGAUCAUACUUUUUGGAGAAAUGUCCUCUGGUCUGAUGAAACAAAAAUAGAACCGUUUGGCCAUAAUGACCAUCGUCAUGUUUGGAGAAAAAGGGGGAGUCUUGCAAGCCGAAGAACAUCAUCCCAACUGUGAAGCACAGGGGUGGCAGCAUCAUGUUGUGGGGGUGCUUUGCUGCAGGAGGGACUGGUGCACUUCACAAAAUAGAUGGCAUCAUGAGGCAGGAAAACUAUGUGGAUAUGUUGAAGCAACAUCUCAAGAUGUUAGUCGGGAAGUUAAAGCUUGGUCGCAAAUGGGUCUUCCAAAUGGACAAUGACCCCAAGCAUACUUCCCAAGUUGUGGCAAAAUGUCUUAAGGACAACAAAGUCAAGGUAUUUAAGUGGCCAUCACAAAGGCCUGACCUCAAUCCCAUAGAAAAUGUGUGGGCAGAACUGAAAAAGCAUGUGCGAGCAAGGAGGCCUACAAACAUGACUCAGUUACACCAGCUCUGUCAGGAGGAAUGGGCCUUGUGGACCUUGUGGAAGGCUACCCAAAAGUUUGACCCAAGUCAAACAAUUUAAAAGCUCUAGUCGGCUGGCCCUUGCUACAUAUUCGUCGCCAGACCCACUGGCUCCAGGUCAUCUACAAGGCCAUGCUAGGUAAAGCUCCGCCUUAUCUCAGUUCACUGGUCACGAUGGCAACACCCAUCCGUAGCACGCGCUCCAGCAGGUGUAUCUCACUGAUCAUCCCUAAAGCCAACACCUCAUUCGGCCGCCUUUCGUUCCAGUACUCUGCUGCCUGUGACUGGAACGAAUUGCAAAAAUCACUGAAGUUGGAGACUUUUAUCUCCCUCACCAACUUCAAACAUCAGCUAUCUGAGCAGCUAACCGAUCGCUGCAGCUGUACAUAGUCUAUUGGUAAAUAGCCCACCCAUUUUCACCUACCUCAUCUCCAGUUUUUAUUUAUUUAAUUUUCUGCUCUUUUGCACACCAAUAUCUCUACCUGUACAUGAUCAUCUGAUCAUUUAUCACUCCAGUGUUAAUCUGCAAUAUUGUAAUUAUUCGCCUACCUCCUCAUGCCUUUUGCACACAUUGUAUAUAGACUCCCCUUUUUUCUACUGUGUUAUUGACUUGUUAAUUGUUUACUCCAUGUGUAACUCUGUGUUGUCUGUUCACACUGCUAUGCUUUAUCUUGGCCAGGUCGCAGUUGCAAAUGAGAACUUGUUCUCAACUAGCCUACCUGGUUAAAUAAAAGGUGAAAUAAAAAAAUAAAAUAAAAUAAAAAAAUGCUACCAAAUACUAAUUGAGUGUAUGUAAACUUCUGUCCCACUGGGAAUGUGAUGAAAGAAAUUAAAGCUGAAAUAAAAUCAUUCUCUCUAUUAUUCUGACAUUUCACAUUCUCAAAAUAAAUGGUGAUCCUAACUGACCUAAGACAGGGAAUUUUUACUAGGAUUAAAUGUCAGGAAUUGUGAAAAACUGAGUUUAAAUGUAUUUGGCUAAGGUGUAUGUAAACUUCCGACUUCAACUGUACAGGCUACGGGUGAUGCAGCUAGGGUGAUGCUCAUUCUAAGGGUGAUACAGUCAGCGUGAUGUACAGUCUACAGGUGAUACAAUCAGGGUGAUGUACAGUCUAUGGGUGAUACAGUCAGGGUGAUGUGCAGUCUACAUGUGAUACAGUCAGGGUGAUGUGCAGUCUACACGUGAUACAGUCAGGGUGAUGACCAGUCUACACGUGAUACAGUCAGGGUGAUGACCAGUCUACGAGCGACACAGUCAGGGUGAUGACCAGUCUACGAGCGACACAGUCAGGGUGGUGUACAGUCUAUGGGUGAUACAGCAAAAGCUAUAGAAGAAGAGACUGUAGGUAGGGUAGAUAAGUGGGGUCAGAAGUAUAAAGACAAGGGAUACGUCCAAAAUGGCACCCUAUUCCCUAUAUAGUGUAUAUAAAAAAAAUACCAAGGUCUAUAGGGCUCUGUUCAAAUGUAGUCCGCUAUAUAGGGAAUAGGGUCCCAUUUGGGACACAGACAUGGUGUAAUAAAAAGAGGACUGCAUCUGACCUUAUCCGACAGCCCUGUCUCACACACACUGGGCUGGAUUGGACAAAAAAAUGACAUCUUGACAAAGGAAAAUGGGAGAAAACUCCCAAAAGAUCACUCGGGUUCAGAAUGCUAUGGCUGCUAUAGGGUGAGAUACAAUUUAAAAAAUCAACAAUAUUAGGAAACAUAAAAUGUAAAAAUGUAGUUAUUUAAGCUGUGUAAAUAUGUAGAUUUAUGAUGAGAUUCUACUCUCAUAGUGUACAUGUAAGCCUAUGUGACCGUUCCUUGAACUGGUACUGGGCCUAGACAUUUAGGGUGCAAUCUGCACUAGUGCCCACUCAGAAAACACUGUCCCCUCUGGGCCACCAAGGCUGCAAAGACAACAGGACUUUGAAUAGCCAAACAUUGGUUAAGCAAACAACACCAUGAAGGCUGCAUGUUUCACUAUCAGUCAUUAACCACUCCUGUCCAAAUAUGUUUCUAUCUCAGUAGUUAAAAAUCAAAUAUCUCAAUAGCCCAUCUCAUCAAAACACAAACAGAACAAUGACACGUGCCAAACUAAACAAGAGAAUGAUCAAAAGUACAUCUUGUAGUGUUUGCUUACAAUCAAACAGAACAGUUAACUCUGCAUCUCUACAGUAUUAGGAUGCUUGGUGAGACAGGAGCAUAGCCUGGUAGACCAGACUGAAUGCUGCACUCACAAUGGUUGAAUCUGGUUUAACCAGGCUAGAGCCAGCAAGCUCUCUGACCAACUAUAGGAGAACGAUCAAAAUGAAUUAUCAAAAAGUACAUUUUGUAUUACAGCUUGCUGAUCAAACAAGGUUUCCUCUUUCCAUCUAUAGCCUAAGGAUGAUAAAGCAUGGUGAGCCAGAGGGCUCUCAGAACAGCUGUAGGAGAUAUAGGAGCAGCAUGGCGGUGAGAUCAACAGAAGAGAGAAGAGACAGAGGAACUUAAUGAGGUAACAGUCAGAGUAGUCCACUCAGACUGCAGCCUCAAAGGAGGCAAGGACCAUAAUGAUCAUAUCUAUAUUAUAUGGCAGGGACUGAACUGUCAGAGGGAAUGACAUUUAGAGCAGCAGGAAGGAAAAAUAAAGAGUUUAAAAAGUAUGGAUCACAGCCAGAUGUGGGAGAGGGAAGGCAAAUCUCAGAAAUCUGAGUGCACACACACAUAUAGACACACACACAGUGAACGCACAGACAGACACACACACAGGUGAAGUGAAGCAUUGUAGUUUGAGAAUAGGGUUUUUGGCAGUAUGUUCAGCUCCAUGGCGCUGAAGCUAACAGCUGUAGUAAAAUAAAAUAGCAACCUUUUCAUUUCACUUGGAAGUAUGGUGUCAUGAUUUGAAGAAUGCCAACAUAUUUAACUAGAUUACUGAGGUAUUGACGUCUUUGUCCUCUCUCUGUUUCCCUCUCUGUCCUCCAUUAGGCCUAGUCUGUGACCCAAAUGGCAUUCUACUCCCUUAAUAGUGCAGUACUUUUGACCAGUGACCAUAGAGCACUAUAUAGGGAAAAGGGUGCCAUUUGGGACACGCCUAUUCAACCAUUCUGUCAUGCGGAAAAUGUAAUCUCAAGGAGGUAAGUGGUCCGCUUAACAUUUAAAAAACAUAACAUCAACUGCAAUUUAAUGAAUUUCUCUACUAGAGUGAGAAUCUCCAUGAGGCAGUAUCUGGUUAUUACCGUGACGACGCAUGAACCCAACAAACAGUAUGCUGUCAUCUGAAGAUAAGAAGCAGCAAACUCAUCAACAAAUAUGUUUGUUGUGGACCAGGCUGAAAAAAGGAUAUAGCCAAUGAGUGCAUGUAUGUAAUGGCAAUCAUUCUGUGGUCUGUGGCCCAAUGCCCUAACUAACACACACACACAGCAAAAACG
Long non-coding RNA from Oncorhynchus keta (chum salmon), 11937 nucleotides. RefSeq lists it as uncharacterized. NCBI's taxonomy places the organism in Eukaryota, Metazoa, Chordata, Actinopteri, Salmoniformes, Salmonidae. The transcript is spliced from 9 exons. The record is from RefSeq and is a predicted model, not a curated record.